UUUGCCCUUUGUUUACCUGCUACCUGGAAAUUAACAGAUGGCUGGGGCCAGGUAAAGAGUGAUCUCAUGCCAUGGAAGAAUGAACACCUGUGAUAUCCUGGAUUGAGGGCUUUGCUGUCAGUAUUUGCUGUCAACAUAUGGAGGCCAGCUUAAAUGGAUUCUUAUUUCACUAUUUGUUUUGCUUUCAUUGAAGCCUGUGCUUAAUUGCGAGAAAGUUGUAUGCGUUACCUAUAAAUCCAUGUGCUUAUAUUAAAAAAUGGAAAAGAUAAUAAAAGGAUUCUAGUGCCCGUAGGCCUCAUGUUCGAGACCCUUCCCAUAUAUUAUGCCUUUACUCAGGUGCUGGAUCUGCAGCAAGCCAGCAGAGAGAUGCCUGUCAGUUGCAAGCAUGCUGCAUUGUGCAAGGUCUUCCAACUCACCCAGCGCAUGCCGAACUGAGAUGAGCUGAGCUCUUUGCAUGGUUUUCCAGUGGUGGAAGUGCAGCAGCUGGGAGAUCCAAGGAGAGAAGUUGCGCUUCUGCUUGAUGUGACUUGUGGAUCUUGAAGAGCCUAAGUGGACUUUCAGAGAUUGUGUUCUACCAGUCGAAUGAGAUCCCAUAAAACUCUGAACCGUGGGAUGACUGUGCAGCUAAGAUGCGCCAACAAUGGGGUUGAAUUGCAGGAGGGGUGAACAUCCCUGUGGACAGGGCCGAUCUUACUGCUUUUCUAGCGUUGCUUAGUGCCUGGACUGUGUCUUCUCCUGGCAAGAUCAGCUCUGACCUUCGAAACAGUUCUCAGCUUGCACUGUUCGGACAUAUUGUAAAUGCAGAGAGGUCCGCCUGGCGCCAUCGUUAUUUGCUUUUCUGCACCAGGCCAAGACCUUUUUAUUUAAACGUCAUUUUAAUUGUUAAUUUUAUUUAUUGAUUUUAACAACUUUGGGCAGGAUGUCUCCAACUGUAUUUUAUUGUAUCUAUGAUACUUAUUCAUGUUUGUAAGUCGCCCAGAGGCUUAUGCGAAUGGGGCGGCAUAUAAGUCUGCUAGCUAGCUAAAUAAAUAAAUGGGGCUGUUUUUGAAGAACUUUCAGAAACUGGCUGAUCCAGAGGGCAGAAGCCAAGAUUUUGCAAAACCAUUUCGCAAAUGAUAUUGCUGUACUUUUCGCAUGCUGCCCAAACAUUGCAUGGCUUUCCAGAUAACCAAGUGGUUCAGCUGAUUGUGAUUUCAGGAGAUCAUGUUAAAUUUUGACCCAUCAUUAGUAGAAGAGACUUUGCAUUCAAAGUUCAUUUUUCUAUUGAAAAAAAUAAUUCUCCAAUAUUUAUUUAUUUAUGUUUGCUUAUGUAUGGCACUUGUAUGCCAACCCAUAGCCAAAGGUUCUCUGGGUGACUCACAGCGCAGCCAUAAACUGUGAUACAGGAUAAAAAUAGAAAACACAUAAAAAUAAAUAGCAAUAAUAACUAUGCCAA
Long non-coding RNA from Varanus komodoensis (Komodo dragon), 1435 nucleotides. RefSeq lists it as uncharacterized. NCBI's taxonomy places the organism in Eukaryota, Metazoa, Chordata, Lepidosauria, Squamata, Varanidae. The transcript has 2 exons. The record is from RefSeq and is a predicted model, not a curated record.